Varroa destructor (honeybee mite) is the source of this 1166-nucleotide long non-coding RNA. RefSeq lists it as uncharacterized. NCBI's taxonomy places the organism in Eukaryota, Metazoa, Arthropoda, Arachnida, Mesostigmata, Varroidae. The record is from RefSeq and is a predicted model, not a curated record.
UAUACCGUUCUUCCUUCCUUUUAGCAUAAAACCGCCUUUAGUUUCCAUCAUGGGGGACAAGUGCUGAGUUGUUUUCUCAAAGGCCGAACGGAACAUAGUACGUCGGACAGAAGGCGCUCGCUACCAAAUAAUCACAAGUCAGCAAUGUACAGGACUGUUCCUAAAACAAUCGGACGAGCUAGAUUACGGGCCGGAACAUUGCGCCGCGCCUUCCAAAGGCUCGUCGGACCCUUUCGCGUAUUGCAUGCUUUCCCAGUACUUUCAGCCUGGUGAAUCUGCACUAAACGCAAGCAUUGCUAGAGUUCAACCGCUUGCCUCCGCCGCCGUUGAUUGUAAGUCGCAGAUAAGCCCAUCUGAACAUAGAAACGCAGUCAAGAAGCAGCAAAAACAUUGGGUCCUGCUAUCGGUGGAUGUGUGUUUAUAGCGUGUCUUUAAAAUCGUUUGUGUUUUCUAGAUGCAGCAGUGAUGCUGUACUAGAAACGGAAGGUCCUUGAUCGAUGUGAAUUUGUCCUGUCUAUGUCACGUUACGAAUUGCAAAUGGACAGAAAGAGAAACGUUUAUAACAGAAACUGUUAAUAUUUGAGUCGGAAACAGGCUGCAUCUCGCUAGAAGACAAUUUUUGAGCAAAUGCCGUUCUCGCAAUACUCUAAAAACGCGGUGUUCCUUCCCAUUUUUCUCCUACGUCGCUUGUACUAUAUCUUAUAUGUACGUAAGAAGCAUAUUAAUCAAAUUCUUCAAAAUCCUUGGUGUGCAAUUUGGCGACUGGAGUUCGUCUAUAUUUAUAGGUCGUAUAGCGUGUGUCUUUGGCGGAACUUAGAGCAGUGACCCCUCACGCUUCUCAAUAAACCGCUUGGCCGUUCAAGUUAUUACGUCAAGACAUGCAGUCGUCCCUCGAGGCGCACGUAAAUCGAAGCUAUAACCAAUAGCAAAUAAUCGGCUGAUGAGCUAUACAACAGACGUUUUCACGAGGCUUCCGUUCCAGCCGCAACGUAUGUAGGACCAAACUCGCAACUAGGGAAUCUCUGCUGAGGUCACCAAUCCAAAUUCAUACUGUGUAAACUGUUGCUGUCAUCCAACCGUGCAGUCCACCAAAAAAGGCCACCGGCAUCUCGUUCACCUCAAGCGCAAUCAAUCCCGGCAGUCCUUAGUCAUUUCUAGCUGUUGUA